GGAGGUAUUUGGGAAAGGCUCUGACCUGUAGCAAUUUUACCCCUUUGCUGUUGGCAAACAGAACCAAACUUAUAGACCUCCUCUACAGCCUUCUGCCUUAUGUCCAGUAAAAUUCUUACCUGAGCAUAUUAUUUUAUUACUGUCCUCUACUAAAAAAUUAAGAAUCAAUCAAUACACGUUGACAUUCUAUUUGCUCUUUGGGUAAGUGGCCAGGCUUUGAGUUAAUGCAGAAAAUGAUUUAGUAAAUAUUUUUAAACAUUACAAGGGUCUCCAGCUUUGCAUCCUAUGACGUUUCCUUAACUCUAAUCUAACCACAUAUUUAAGGUUAUUUUUAGAACCCCACUUCUAGGUUCAAAUUCCUAUAUUUUUAAGGUCCUGCCAAGCUAUUAUAGCAAACAAACCUCAAACCCAGUGGCUUAAAGAAUAAAAACAUUACUAGAAGAUAGUACAUCACAGUGGGUAAAAGCACAGACAGGAGAGCCCAGUUUUCUGGAUUUGAGUUCCAGUUACUAUCCGUGCAACUCUGGCCUUUUCUGUUUUCUUCUCUUUAAAAAUGAGAUAAUAAGGGUAACUAGCACUUAGGGUUGGUAAGAGGAUUAAAAAAGUUAGUAUAUGUAAAAUUUAGAUAAGACUUAUUAUAUGCCAGUGUUGUAUAUAUGCUUCUUAAUUUUAAAAAAUAUUUAUAAUCUCUUUCACAUCAGAGAUCACAGAUGAUUGUUCCUGAGACAGAUGAGUAUGGAAAUUCUGAUCCUUAUGGUUCACCAGGAGUCUAGCAGUUUUCACACAGAGGCAUUAACAUCUUCAUGAUCAAUCAUGUUGGAUUCCAUUAUAUUGAAUUUCACUUCAUGGAAAAAAGUGGGAGGAGCCAAAUUUCUUUAGCAUGACUUGGAAAUGGCAUAAACCACUUCUACUGCCAUUCUGUCAACAACCGCAUAGUCAUAUGGCAGUACCUAACUGGAAGGGAAACUGUGAAACCUAGUUUAGCUGGGUAGCCUUGUGCCCAGAGAGGAAGGAUUUGGGUAGGUGGUUAGUGUCCUCUAUCAUAGCUCCUUAAACUGAAUCAAAAAGAGUUUGUAAAUCAUUAUAAUUCUAUCACCAUUAAAUAAAGUGUUUGUAGUAAAAUUUUAUUCAUAUUAAAAGAAACUAAAAACUAGACAAUGAAGUGUUAAUAAAAUUAUGAUGGAUAAAUACAUUGUAGUGAAUUCAUACAAUGAUAUAGUAUUGAAUGAUGUACACCAUAACUAGAGCUAUUUGCAACAACAUGAAUGAAUUUCACAAAUAAUGUCAAGCUGAAGAAAAUAAAAGUUAAUAUGUGUAGUAUGAUUUUAUUUGGGGGAAUUCCAAAAAAGGCAAAAUUAGACAAUGUUGUUUGGGGAUGCAUGCAUAGGUGGUUAUGUUAGAAAGAACAGGGAGAUGAUGAUUAUCACAAAAGUUAGAAUAGUGGUUGCCUCCAAAGAAGUUGGGAUCUGUGGUCAGGGAAAGAUACAUGGGGAAAUUUCUGAAGUGCUUGCACUAUUACAUUUCCUGACUUAGAUAGUGGUUUACACUGGCAUCUCUUUAUAAUUAUUCUAUAACAUACACAUACACACACACACACACACAUAUACCCUUAGGUAUAUACAAUAGAUAUCUCACAACAGAUUUUUCAUGCAUAUGGAAAAGCUAAGUCAACUUCAAGAAAAUAAAAAUGAAAGGCAAGCAUAAGACUAAUAAUAAGAACUACUUAGGAUUUAUGCAUGAAAAAAACAAAUAGACCAAUGGAAUAUAAUAGAGAUCUCAGCAACAGACAUAUUUCUGUCUAGGGAAUUCAAAUAAGAGAAAAUUAGCUUCAUCAAUUAAUAGAGGAAGGAUAUUUGUUUAGGAGAUAGAAGUGGGAGAAUGGACUCACUCUACGGAAGGAAAUAAAACUGCCCUACCUAACACCACUAGGUAACUACCAAGCAAGGAUCAACUCUAUAACCUUUAGUGUAAUAGGAGACAUUAUAGCAGAGUAUCAUUAUGACCUAAAGCUAGGGAAGGACUUCUGAAAUUAGGUUUAAAAAAUAUAAGACAAGAAAGUUGAUUGAAUUCAAGUCAUCAAAAUUAAAGAUUUCUAUUCAGCGAAAGGCACCAUUAACAAAGAUAAUGGAUGAAUUAUCAGAAUGAGAAAUAUUUGCAAGUUAAACUGACAAGGUAUUAUAAAAAGUAGAAUAUAUUAAGAACUCUUGAGAAUAACAAAGUGGAGGUAGUAACCCCAAGGAAUAACAGGCAAAUGGUGUGAAGAAGCAAUUUGCAGAAGGGGGGGGAAAUGAAGCACAUGAAAAGCUCAGAAUCUUUACUUAUCAGAUUAAAACAGCACUUUUAAAUUACCUAUUAGGCUAGCAAAAUUAAAAGGCUCAUAUUGUCAAGUUUUGAUGGGAAGUUAAGGAUAUAGAGAAACUCGUGCAUUGUGAGUGGGAGUAUAGAUAAUUUUGGUCACAAUAACUAAGACCCAGAGCUCAAGGAAUCAUAAGAACUGUAGGAUCUAGAGCCACACCUGCCACCAAAAUCCAAACUAGUAGAAUAGAUGCUUACUAUACUGCCUUUUUCCUCAAUGUUUCAAAUUUUGGUUUUGUUCAAGCCCUUCUGAUUUAAGAUACAAAACUGCAUCCUAUACUGUGGCUUCAAGAGUUGUGGAAAUAGAGGUUCUUGUUUCCACCUCUGUAGGUCAUGAAGGUGCAUUAGAAGUGUGGUAUCUGACUCCUCCCACACUCACCUAUGCCCCAGUUGAAGUUCAGGCACUGGUAUUUCAUAAAAUCUCCUUACACGAUUCUAAUACAUAGUUAUUAAGAUUUUAAAACACUGCAUGCAAAGGAUGCUGGGAAAGAGGUGGCAAGUGCUGAUUUAGUGUCUCCAUCACACCACAAAGGAAGAUCUAGGUUGCAGACACAGUGUUACUGAUGUACUUGUGUACACACCAUUUGUCAAAGUACUGCAGGAAAUUGUCUAUAGCAAGAAAACAAACCACUUACUUUUUGCCAAAGCUCAUUUUUCCCAUGCAAUGAGGUUUUUCAGAAAGCAAUUUACUGGAGAUGUAAAAGACCAUAAUUAGCACAAUAUAGGGCAAGUCAUCCAACUGAGGAAAUCUGAAUGUGCUUAAGUAGGAACAGAGAAUGUAGUGGAAACUUUAAACACACAAUUUGAUAUUUUCCACGACAGACAGAGCAGAAAAAGCUCAGUCCAUCAGGGAUGACUUUGGAAAAUGGUGAAAGGAACACUUACCACAAAAUUGUGUUCAUUGUGUUCAAAGUUCCAGGCUUUAUCCACUAGAGGAGUCCUGUGGUUUCUACCAGCUAACUGAUGUAUCACAUAAAAUGCCACUGGUUCCCUCAAGAAGUAAAACCUAAAUGAAGUGCAGAUGGAGCAUUUGGUGGACUGUAAGCAAUUUUCACUACAGAAAAAAUUGUGGCUUCUGUAAGGAAUCUGAAGACUGUCUGCGGGCAGAAUGAAAAUUCAAGAUCUUUGAAAAAUAGAUUGUUCAUGAGUGGAUUCUAGAAGAGCCCACUGCUAUUCAAAACAAUCACGUCAUAUGCUAAAAGUCACACAAACACACAUACACACACACCAUAAAUAACUAAUGGAAACAAUAAAGUCAGAUGUGACCUACCAUUAAUAGGUUUAAAUAUUUUGGUCCUUCCCCUUUAUCCUGCUACCCUCACUCCUUUCCAGGAUUUUUCCUGAUGAAGCACUCUAUCAAUAAAUCAUGUGCUUCUGAAAUCCUCAGCUUCUGGGGAACCCAACAUUGACCUUCAUCAUGAUUCCCAUUUGCCCAAGGGAGAAUCUAGAUACUCUCUCAACCUCUUUGGUAGGUUGGAUAACUGUUGUUCAAAUAUCCUUGUUCUUUUCUUGGUAUGUUACUCUCAGUAGGCUGGUGACACAUCUCUGUGUUGUUGAAUUCAAAAGUGGCUAUAUGGCUUACUUUGGUCAUUGAAAUGCUGGUGAAGUAAGACCCGUCUUCCAUGUAGAAAUAUUAAGAACUAGUGUAUUUUUCACUGUGUCACUUUUCUCUUUGCUCCAAAACUGGUAAUGUCUGCUCUGCUAGACUGGAUCUUGGAUUGGUGAUGAUAGGAAGCAGUGCUGCAGCCAACUUGCAAUGAAUAUGUAGCAUGAGUGAUAAAUAAACCAAUGUUGUAAGCCUCAGUUGUAGCACACUGCAGUGGCUAAUUCUUUUUCAUUUGUUGUGUAUAGUAUUUCAUUGUAUAAAUAUCCCACAAUUUAGUUAUCCAUUCUACUAUUGAUGAACACUUGUGUUGCAUCCAGAUUUUUUUUUUAAAUUACAAACUAAGCUGCAAUUAAUCUUCUUAUGGAGUGUAUUUUAAUGCACAUAUGUAAACAUUUCUGUUGGUUAUAGACACAGAAUUAGAGUUACUGAGAAAUAGGAUACAUCCAUUUAUAGCACAUAUGUUUAGUUCCACCUAAACAUCUGAGCAGUUUUGCAAAAUGGCAGUACCAACAUAUUUUCCCAAUAAUAAUGCUGAAGAGUUCUGGUUGCUCCCUUUCUUUCCAAGAGUAUCAAUCGUUCUUUUUCUUUUUUAAAUUUUAAGUAUUCUGAUAAGUGUGUGGGACUAUAUCAUGAUUUUUAUUUGCAAUCCUCAGAUGACUAAUGGAAUAAAUACCUUUUCAUAUGCUUCUUGGUCAUUUGGAGUCUUCUUUUACGCAGUUAAUGUUCAAAGUUUGGCCUAUUUAAAAACUGUGUUGACAUUAUUUUUAACUUAUAGGUAUGAAUACUUUGUGGAUACUUAUAUUGAAAACAUAUUCUUCCACUUUUUGCUGAAUCUUUUCAUUUUCUCAAUAGUGUCUUCUGAUGAACGAAAAUUUUCAACUUUAAUAAAAUCUAAUUUAUCAAUUU
This 4867-nucleotide long non-coding RNA is filed under the name Sus scrofa (pig). RNAcentral describes it as "lncRNA (ENSSSCG00005031618.1)". Lineage: Eukaryota; Metazoa; Chordata; Mammalia; Artiodactyla; Suidae. The record is from RNAcentral.